RNAcentral lists this ribosomal RNA (194 nucleotides) under uncultured bacterium DF03. RNAcentral describes it as "partial 16S ribosomal RNA". It matches the Rfam family "Bacterial small subunit ribosomal RNA", at positions 338 to 524 of the family's 1533-position model. The record is from RNAcentral.
CCUACGGGAGGCAGCAGUGGGGCAUUUUGCACAAUGGGGGCACCCCUGAUCCAGCAAUGCCGCGNGCAGGAAGAAGGCCUUCGGGUUGUAAACUGCUUUUGUCAGGGAAGAAAUCUUCUGGGCUAAUACCUCGGGAGGAUGACGGUACCUGAAGAAUAAGCACCGGCUAACUACGUGCCAGCAGCCGCGGUAAU